Molecule: non-coding RNA, 303 nt
Organism: Vicia faba (fava bean)
Lineage: Eukaryota; Viridiplantae; Streptophyta; Magnoliopsida; Fabales; Fabaceae
Source: the annotation of a GenBank genome assembly
AUGUCGGGGGAGAAGCCAGCUUGUACUAAGAAGGAAUAUGGGUGGGGAUUCAGAGAUUUUAAAGUCUUUAACAUGGCUAUGGUUGCUAAACAGAGUUGGCAUCUGCUGAUAAAACCUUAUGCUCUUAUAUCCAGAAUCUUCAAAGCAAGGCACUAUCCUAGAACUUCUUUCUUCGAAGCUAAUCUUGGUUAUAAUCCUACUUUUGUAUGGCGGAGUAUUUGGAAAGCGAGAGAGGUUUUAACACUAGGUUGUAGGUGGAGUAUUGGGAAUAGAAGUCAUAUCAUGGCAAUGAAUGAACCUUAG